This 852-nucleotide ribosomal RNA is filed under the name Coltricia perennis. Its description in RNAcentral is "eukaryotic LSU rRNA". It matches the Rfam family "Eukaryotic large subunit ribosomal RNA", at positions 66 to 914 of the family's 3401-position model. Lineage: Eukaryota; Fungi; Basidiomycota; Agaricomycetes; Hymenochaetales; Hymenochaetaceae. The record is from RNAcentral.
UAACAAGGAUUCCCCUAGUAACUGCGAGUGAAGAGGGAAGAGCUCAAAUUUAAAAUCUGGCAGCUCUGCUGUCCGAGUUGUAAUCUGUAGAAGCAUUUUCUGCAUUGGACCGUGUACAAGUCUCUUGGAAGAGAGCGUCAUAGAGGGUGAGAAUCCCGUCCAUGACACGGACUACCAAUGCUCUGUGAUAUGCUCUCAAAGAGUCGAGUUGUUUGGGAAUGCAGCUCAAAAUGGGUGGUAAAUUCCAUCUAAAGCUAAAUACAGGCGAGAGACCGAUAGCGAACAAGUACCGUGAGGGAAAGAUGAAAAGCACUUUGGAAAGAGAGUUAAACAGUAUGUGAAAUUGUUGAAAGGGAAACACUUGAAGUCAGUCACGUCCUGCAGGACUCAGCCUUGCCUUUUAUUAGGCCUGGUGUAUUUCCUGCAGGAUGGGUCAACAUCAAUUUUGGUCAGUGGAUAAAGGAGGAGGGAAUGUGGCACCCUUGUGGGUGUGUUAUAGCCCUCCUUCAUAUGUACUGACUGGGAUUGAGGACUGCAGCAAGUCCUUUUGGACUUGCUUAGGAUGUUGACAAAAUGGCUUUAAGUGACCCGUCUUGAAACACGGACCAAGGAGUCUAACAUGCCUGCAAGUGUUUGGGUGGAAAACCCUUGCGCACAAUGAAAGUGAAAGUUGGGAACCUCCGCAAGGGGGUGCACUGACACCCAGCCCUGAUGUUUACUGACGGUGCUGCGGUAGAGCAUGUAUGUUGGGACCCGAAAGAUGGUGAACUAUGCCUGAAUAGGGUGAAGCCAGAGGAAACUCUGGUGGAAGCUCGUAGCGAUUCUGACGUGCAAAUCGAUCGUCAAAUUUGG